Small nuclear RNA from Suncus etruscus (white-toothed pygmy shrew), 111 nucleotides. The record is from RefSeq and is a predicted model, not a curated record. Lineage: Eukaryota; Metazoa; Chordata; Mammalia; Eulipotyphla; Soricidae.
GUGCUCGUUUUGGCAGCACAUAUACUAAAACUGGAACGACACAGAGAAGAUUAUCAUGACCCCUGAGCAAGGAUGACACGUAAAUUGGUGUACUUAUAUUUGAAAAUUCUU